RNAcentral lists this ribosomal RNA (468 nucleotides) under uncultured bacterium. RNAcentral describes it as "partial 16S ribosomal RNA". It matches the Rfam family "Bacterial small subunit ribosomal RNA", at positions 28 to 507 of the family's 1533-position model. The record is from RNAcentral.
GACGAACGCUGGCGACGUGCUUAACACAUGCAAGUCGAACGGAAAGGCCCUGCUUUUGUGGGGUGCUCGAGUGGCGAACGGGUGAGUAACACGUGAGUAACCUGCCCUUGACUUUGGGAUAACUUCAGGAAACUGGGGCUAAUACCGGAUAGGAGCUCCUGCUGCAUGGUGGGGGUUGGAAAGUUUCGGCGGUUGGGGAUGGACUCGCGGCUUAUCAGCUUGUUGGUGGGGUAGUGGCUUACCAAGGCUUUGACGGGUAGCCGGCCUGAGAGGGUGACCGGCCACAUUGGGACUGAGAUACGGCCCAGACUCCUACGGGAGGCAGCAGUGGGGAAUAUUGCACAAUGGGCGGAAGCCUGAUGCAGCAACGCCGCGUGCUGGAUGACGGCCUUCGGGUUGUAAACCGCUUUCGCCUGUGACGAAGCGUGAGUGACGGUAAUGGGUAAAGAAGCACCGGCUAACUACGUG